This 253-nucleotide ribosomal RNA is filed under the name uncultured bacterium. Its description in RNAcentral is "partial 16S ribosomal RNA". It matches the Rfam family "Bacterial small subunit ribosomal RNA", at positions 524 to 776 of the family's 1533-position model. The record is from RNAcentral.
UACGUAGGGUGCAAGCGUUGUUCGGAAUUAUUGGGCGUAAAGCGCGUGUAGGUGGCUAGUAAAGUCGGGUGUGAAAGCCCUGGGCUCAACCCGGGAAGUGCAUUCGAUACUGGCUGGCUAGAAGAUGGUAGAGGUAGGUGGAAUUCCAAGUGUAGAGGUGAAAUUCGUAGAUAUUUGGAGGAAUACCGGCGGCGAAGGCGGCCUACUGGGCCAUUCUUGACACUGAGACGCGAAAGCGUGGGGAGCAAACAGG